CUCCACCUCCUUCCUCCCACCCCCGUCCGACCACCUACCACGGCUGCGACCGCCUGAGCCGGCAGGAUCCUCCUCCCGUGCCUGACCGGCGACGCGCGCGAGGUGAGUCGCCCCUCACCCCUCACCCCGGUGCCCCACCCCCUCCCGGCUCUGGCGUGCCCCGGUGGUCUGCCUCGUGCUCCUUUCCGGAUCCGUCUUCCGUCUCGCCCGUGGGCACCGGGGCCGCCGCGUCGACCAUGGGGAGAAAAAACGACUGCGCCCGAAUCCCUUUCUCAUCGAGCUGCAUCUCCCCCUGGAGGCCAUGGCUGUCGCGACACCAUGUCCUCGUCCAGAUCGGGGCCAUGGCUGCCUCCCCCAAGCUCCUCCUUCCCUCGCCGGCGAUGAGAGUACGGGGAGUCACGCUACAAUUUUUCUCUUUUCGGAACCAUCGAUGACCGCGGUGCAACCCACAUGUGUUUUGUUUGAAUUUUUUUGCAUCGGCUGCAGUUUUACUCAAGAAGAGAAGUUCACAUUGUUCUUGAAAGGUUCUGUGCAGCUCAUCGCCAGCGGCAGCGUGCGGUUUUGAUUCGAGGAGCGUGCAGCUCAGUUCCGCAUCAGGGAUCCACGCCCAUGUGCCUCCAGCCGUGCAUCUCGUCGGCAGGAUUUUUUGCUUGAGAGGAGAACUACGGGCAGUGAUUCUUGCAACUCUGUUCGCAUUUUUUUGCUCGGGAAUGAACAAGAUGCGCAGCUGACUGUACAUAAUUGUGCAGCUCGCUGGACCCUAUUGGGAGUUCUAAAAAAAGUGCAGCCCCUUAGUGGUUCACCUUGUAGAAAAAGAGAAAAAAAUCCCCACGGGAGGUUCACUUCUUUAUUGAAUGCAAUUUGUUUUGUUUGUGAGAUGAUUGGAAAAAGUAGAUCACUCCAAUUUGUGUAGCAGCUCGUUACCCCUAUGUAUCAAGUGCAAUUUGUUUCGUGUGUUCAAUCGAUUACAUCAACACA
Long non-coding RNA from Triticum dicoccoides, 978 nucleotides. RefSeq lists it as uncharacterized. The record is from RefSeq and is a predicted model, not a curated record. The transcript is spliced from 2 exons. NCBI's taxonomy places the organism in Eukaryota, Viridiplantae, Streptophyta, Magnoliopsida, Poales, Poaceae.